AACGAACGCUGGCGGCGCGCCUAAUACAUGCAAGUCGAGCGAGAAGACGUAGCAAUACGUUUGUAAAGCGGCGAACGGGUGAGGAAUACAUGGGUAACCUACCCUCGAGUGGGGAAUAACUAGCCGAAAGGUUAGCUAAUACCGCGUACGCUCCUUGGACUUCGGUUCAGGGAGGAAAGCGAUACCGUGGGUAUCGCGCUCUUGGAUGGGCUCAUGUCCUAUCAGCUUGUUGGGAGGUAACGGCUCACCAAGGCUUCGACGGGUAGCUGGUCUGAGAGGACGAUCAGCCACACUGGCACUGCGACACGGGCCAGACUCCUACGGGAGGCAGCAGUAAGGAAUAUUGCGCAAUGGGCGAAAGCCUGACGCAGCGACGCCGCGUGGGGGAUGAAGGUCUUCGGAUUGUAAACCCCUUUCGGGAGGGAAGAUGGAACGAGCAAUCGUUCGGACGGU
This 453-nucleotide ribosomal RNA is filed under the name uncultured bacterium. RNAcentral's name for it is "bacterial SSU rRNA". It matches the Rfam family "Bacterial small subunit ribosomal RNA", at positions 29 to 476 of the family's 1533-position model. The record is from RNAcentral.